Molecule: ribosomal RNA, 460 nt
Filed under: uncultured bacterium
Lineage: Bacteria
Description: partial 16S ribosomal RNA
Rfam family: Bacterial small subunit ribosomal RNA
Source: RNAcentral
CCUACGGGGGGCAGCAGUGAGGAAUAUUGGUCAAUGGACGAGAGUCUGAACCAGCCAAGUAGUGUGAAGGAUGACUGCCCUAUGGGUUGUAAACUUCUUUUAUAUGGGAAUAAAACAGGGUAUGCAUACCCUCUUGUAUGUACCAUAUGAAUAAGGAUCGGCUAACUCCGUGCCAGCAGCCGCGGUAAUACGGAGGAUCCGAGCGUUAUCCGGAUUUAUUGGGUUUAAAGGGAGCGUAGGUGGAUUGUUAAGUCAGUUGUGAAAGUUUGCGGCUCAACCGUGAAAUUGCAGUUGAAACUGGCAGUCUAGAGUGCAGUAGAGGUAGGCGGAAUGCGUGGUGUAGCGGUGAAAUGCUUAGAUAUCACGCAGAACUCCGAUUGCGAAGGCAGCUCACUGGACUGCAACUGACACUGAGGCUCGAAAGUGUGGGUAGCAAACAGGAUUAGAUACCCGGGUAGUC